This 808-nucleotide ribosomal RNA is filed under the name Dendrobium tobaense. RNAcentral's name for it is "eukaryotic LSU rRNA". The stretch from base 323 to 478 matches the Rfam family "5.8S ribosomal RNA". The record is from RNAcentral. Lineage: Eukaryota; Viridiplantae; Streptophyta; Magnoliopsida; Asparagales; Orchidaceae.
UGCGAGAAGUCCAUUGAACCUUAUCAUUUAGAGGAAGGAGAAGUCGUAACAAGGUUUCCGUAGGUGAACCUGCGGAAGGAUCAUUGCCGAGACCGAAAUAUAUCGAACGAUUUGGAGAACUCGUCAAAAUAAGCGGUGGCUAUUGUUGCCGCGAUAAAAUCCAUCCCAAUCGUUGCCUCAUCCCCUUGGGGGUGGGGAUGCGAUGAAGGCUGGAUGAACACUCAAACCGACGCAGCGUCGCGUCAAGGUAGUAAUGAAACAUGAGCCCUUAAAUGGGUCUUGUGGCAUGGGGUGUGCUAUUGCACACCAUAUGGAUUAACAUGACUCUCGGCAAUGGAUAUCUCGGCUCUCGCAUCGAUGAAGAGCGCAGCGAAAUGCGAUACGUGGUGCGAAUUGCAGAAUCCCGCGAACCAUCGAGUCUUUGAACGCAAGUUGCGCCCGAGGCCAACUGGCCAAGGGCACGUCUGCCUGGGUGUCAAGCGUUACGUCACUCCGUGCCACCUCCAUUCCUUCAAUGGAUGGGCUGGCGAAGGCUCGGAUGUGUAGAGUGGCUCGUCGUGCCCGUCGGUACGGCGGGCUGAAGGUCGGGUCAUCAUCUCGUUGGCCGCGAACAAUAAGGGGUGGAUUAAAGAGAGACCUAUGUUAUUGUGUCGUGUAUGCCUGAGAGAAGACUAUCCAUUAUCAGAUGAUCCCAAAUCAUGUGUCGAUUCACGAAUGGCGCUUGGAAUGCGACCCCAGGAUGGGCGAGGCCACCCGCCGAUUUAAGCAUAUCAAUAAGCGGAGGAGAAGAAACUACGAGGWUCCCUAG